Molecule: unclassified non-coding RNA, 344 nt
Filed under: Hevea brasiliensis (rubber tree)
Lineage: Eukaryota; Viridiplantae; Streptophyta; Magnoliopsida; Malpighiales; Euphorbiaceae
Source: RNAcentral
UCAUAUCAGAAGGUUUUCCAAGCUCAAAACCAAUCGGAUGAACAUUGAAAUGAAAGGUGAAGGCUGUCACAAUCACUGGCACAGCAGUGAAAAGGUCGAAGAAGGAAACUUGAUUGUCUAGGUGGGGCAACAAUCUUGGACUAUUGGUUUUCCCUUCAAUGAGUGCAGAGAUUGCCAAAACUGAGCUAAUCCCAACAAACACUACUGCCAGGAGAACUGAUAUAGCUGAGCUGAACCUCAGUGAUUCUACACGCCUGAAGGAGACCAGAGGAAGCAUAACAAAAACAACAAUGAAGAAGAGUGCAAAAGCGCGUGAAUUCCACCAGUGAAUGCCAAACCAUUCU